UCCCUGAUGGUUCAAUGGCUAAGAUGCUGCACUUCCAAUGCUGAAGGCCUGGGUUUGAUCCCUGGUUGAGGAA
This 73-nucleotide transfer RNA is filed under the name Ovis aries (sheep). It matches the Rfam family "tRNA". From Rfam's summary of the family: Transfer RNA (tRNA) molecules are approximately 80 nucleotides in length. Their secondary structure includes four short double-helical elements and three loops (D, anti-codon, and T loops). Lineage: Eukaryota; Metazoa; Chordata; Mammalia; Artiodactyla; Bovidae. The record is from Rfam by way of RNAcentral.